Non-coding RNA from Salmo salar (Atlantic salmon), 77 nucleotides. The record is from the annotation of a RefSeq genome assembly. Lineage: Eukaryota; Metazoa; Chordata; Actinopteri; Salmoniformes; Salmonidae.
GGUCCCAUGUGGCUCAGCUGGUAAAGUGUGGCGCUUUCAACGCCAGGGUUGUGGGUUUGAUUCCCACGCGGGGACCA